UUGGGUCUUCUUCCUCACUGCAUACGACUGCAUUAUGCAGUCUGCAUACGACUCCAUUGAUAACUGAUGUACAAACGAAUCUUAGAAAGCCAAUUUGUCUUACCCCUCAAAUGUAUCCCUUUAACUUAUCUGAUAAAUCUCUUUCCAUUCUUUAUCUUAAAAGCUCAAAUUGUUGGUGAGAUUUGAAGUUCCACCAUAUCCCCACCAUAAAAACAACAUUGCACCACCGUGAGCCGCCUACUGCCGCUACUCUUAGGCAACCUCCUCUUGAUCAGAAAUCAUCCCAACACCACCCCAUUGUAGUCCGCCUCUUACAACCUCUCCCUCUCGCCGAAAUCCGCUCGAAACAGAGGAGAAAACGGGCAAACUCGUCGACUACAAUCGACUGCCACCCAUCGCUGACGCCCACUUCAUCACUCACCGUUGUUGCUGCUGUCGGAAUUCCACCCCUCCGACCAUCUGCCAUCUUCUUCGUCCCUCUCUCGUCAAUCUCGCCGGACGAAACCCAGGGACGGAGCAUGGGAGCUUCCGAUGUGUGCCACCCAACACCACUCCCUGCCAUCCUUCCUUUGGGGUUGCUGCCACCAUGAAAACUCCGAUCAGCAAUCACAUUCCACCACUAUGAAUAAAUCGACCACCACCUUAUACCCCCUCCUCUCAAUUGCAAAUCACCACCAAACACCACUACCAUUUGUUUUCUCCGCUGAUUUGGACCAGAACCCAACCUAAAACCAGGCGGGAAGAGGCCGCCGGAGCUCUGCCACUCACCUACAUCCCCGCUCACUGCCACCGUCGCCAUUCUCCGACACCACCUCCGCCGAGAUGCCUCCGGUAAAAUUAAAUAGAACCGGUGAUUCUUCUUUAAGAGAACGGAACGUCACAAAACGACCUUUGCAAAUUUCACCCUCGAGACUCGUUUACGCUUCAAGAGUACUUCCGGUAGAGGAUGAUGGAGCUCGGGACGAUCGCAUGGCACACACCAUAGAUUAGUUAACCUGGGAAUGUUUUACUCUGAUAAUGAACAUGUGUUUUGAAAACUAAUACUCUGUUUAUGUUUUGAAAUGAUGAUUUUACUUUAAGUGAUACUUUAUUAAAAGAA
Lactuca sativa (garden lettuce) is the source of this 1099-nucleotide non-coding RNA. The record is from RefSeq and is a predicted model, not a curated record. NCBI's taxonomy places the organism in Eukaryota, Viridiplantae, Streptophyta, Magnoliopsida, Asterales, Asteraceae.